Molecule: ribosomal RNA, 497 nt
Filed under: uncultured bacterium
Lineage: Bacteria
Description: partial 16S ribosomal RNA
Rfam family: Bacterial small subunit ribosomal RNA
Source: RNAcentral
GAUGAACGCUGGCGGCGUGCCUAAUACAUGCAAGUCGAGCGAACGGACGAGAAGCUUGCUUCUCUGAUGUUAGCGGCGGACGGGUGAGUAACACGUGGAUAACCUACCUAUAAGACUGGGAUAACUUCGGGAAACCGGAGCUAAUACCGGAUGAUAUUUUGAACCGCAUGGUUCAAAAGUGAAAGACGGUCUUGCUGUCACUUAUAGAUGGAUCCGCGCUGCAUUAGCUAGUUGGUAAGGUAACGGCUUACCAAGGCAACGAUGCAUAGCCGACCUGAGAGGGGGAGCGCCCACACGGGAAGGGAGACAGGCCCAGGCCUCAUGGGGGGGGCACGAGGGGGGAUUCUGCGAGAAGGGGGAAAAGCGGGACGGACCAGCCCGGGGGGAGGGAAAAGGUUGUUGGGAUCGAAAACCUUUUUUAUGGGGAAAAAAAAUGUUGGAAAGAACCUUUCCACAUCGGGACGGUCCCUAAUAAAAAACCCAGGGAAAACUAGGGG